GGGGAAUAUUGGGCAAUGGGGGAAACCCUGACCCAGCAACGCCGCGUGAAGGAAGAAGGUUUUCGGAUUGUAAACUUCUGUCCUUGGUGAAGAGAAGAAGACGGUAGCCAAGGAGGAAGCCCCGGCUAACUACGUGCCAGCAGCCGCGGUAAUACGUAGGGGGCGAGCGUUGUCCGGAAUGAUUGGGCGUAAAGGGCGCGUAGGCGGCUUUGUAAGUCUGGAGUGAAAGUCCUCUUUUCAAGGGAGGAAUUGCUUUGGAAACUAUAGAGCUUGAGUGCAGGAGAGGUUAUCGGAAUUCCCGGUGUAGCGGUGAAAUGCGUAGAUAUCGGGAGGAACAUCGGUGGCGAAGGCGGGUAACUGGACUGCAACUGACGCUGAGGCGCGAAAGUGUGGGGAGCAAACA
Molecule: ribosomal RNA, 403 nt
Filed under: uncultured Bacillota bacterium
Lineage: Bacteria; Bacillati; Bacillota
Description: bacterial SSU rRNA
Rfam family: Bacterial small subunit ribosomal RNA
Source: RNAcentral